RNAcentral lists this ribosomal RNA (253 nucleotides) under uncultured bacterium. RNAcentral's name for it is "partial 16S ribosomal RNA". It matches the Rfam family "Bacterial small subunit ribosomal RNA", at positions 524 to 776 of the family's 1533-position model. The record is from RNAcentral.
UACGGAGGGUGCAAGCGUUCUCCGGCUUCACUGGGUUUAAAGGGUGCGUAGGUGGGCAGGUAAGUCAGUGGUGAAAUCUUUGGGCUUAACCCGAAAACUGCCAUUGAUACUAUUUGUCUUGAAUAUUGUGGAGGUCAGCGGAAUAUGUCAUGUAGCGGUGAAAUGCUUAGAUAUGACAUAGAACACCAAUUGCGAAGGCAGCUGGCUACACAUAUAUUGACACUGAUGCACGAAAGCGUGGGGAUCAAACAGG